UCAGUGCAUGACAGAACUUCA
RNAcentral lists this microRNA (21 nucleotides) under Eptatretus burgeri (inshore hagfish). RNAcentral's name for it is "Ebu-Mir-148_3p (mature (guide))". Lineage: Eukaryota; Metazoa; Chordata; Myxini; Myxiniformes; Myxinidae. The record is from RNAcentral.